This 309-nucleotide ribosomal RNA is filed under the name uncultured eukaryote. Its description in RNAcentral is "partial 18S ribosomal RNA". It matches the Rfam family "Eukaryotic small subunit ribosomal RNA", at positions 1470 to 1796 of the family's 1831-position model. The record is from RNAcentral.
CCCUUAGAUGUUCUGGGCGGCCCGCGCACUACACUGGCACUCUCAAUCAGAGCCUAAAUCUAAAACUUUGUGGUAUUCUAUGAAGAGGUGUCGUGACUGGGAUUAACCCUUGCAAUUAUCGGUUACGAACGAGGAAUUCCUUGUAAUCGCGGUUUAUCAGCCCGCGUUGAAUGCGUCCCUGCCCUUUGUACACACCGCCCAUCGCUCCUACCGAUGGAUCGUCCGGUGAAGUUCAUGGAGGGGCGGUUGUUUCAACUGCCGUCGAAGUGAAAUGGACCUCACGAUUUAGAGGAAGGAGAANUCGUAACA